Molecule: ribosomal RNA, 305 nt
Filed under: uncultured bacterium
Lineage: Bacteria
Description: partial 16S ribosomal RNA
Rfam family: Bacterial small subunit ribosomal RNA
Source: RNAcentral
ACAGCAGUCGCCACGGGAAUACGGAGGGUGCAAGCGUUAAUCGGAAUUACUGGGCGUAAAGCGCACGCAGGCGGUCUGUCAAGUCAGAUGUGAAAUCCCCGGGCUUAACCUGGGAACUGCAUUUGAAACUGGCAGGCUAGAGUCUUGUAGAGGGGGGUAGAAUUCCAGGUGUAGCGGUGAAAUGCGUAGAGAUCUGGAGGAAUACCGGUGGCGAAGGCGGCCCCCUGGACAAAGACUGACGCUCAGGUGCGAAAGCGUGGGGAGCAAACAGGAUUAGAUACCCCGGUAGUCCCUGUCUCUUAUAC